GUAGUGUAACAGUGUCUGAAUGACACGUGUUUGCUUUCGUUUUUUCGGUGUCCGUCUUUCGCUAGACCUUGGCACAGGUUUCUUCCCCUUUUUCCCUUUUCCGUGCUUGGCUGUGAUCCGCUUCGCCGUUUCCGCACACCCACCGCUCUCUUCGUUGUGGCUCGCUCCUGAGUUCCUGUCCUACGCUGGCACAUCUUCCCUUUGAGGACUCGGUGGCGAGCAUGUCCGCAUGUUGGGGUGUGUGUUCGCGAGCUUUCUUUUCGCCUCCUCCGUCGCGGAUGAGGAUGGUCUUGAUCCCUGCUGCCGCGCAUCAUUGCCAAAAAUAAAAAAGACAGAUUUGAGCCCCUGCGCACCCGGACCUGCACAAUCGACACCUAAAACGCGUAUAUUUCUUGCUUUCGUUUUUCCUUCGUUGUGUCAGGCACUCUGAGCACCGUGCGCACAUGUUAGGUAGCAUCACGAAGAAGCAGGAGAGCAAAGUAGAAGAUCGAAAAAGAGGAGGGAAUCAGCCUCCCUUUUUUUUCUCUCGGCGAACCCUUCUCGCUUUUUUUUUCACCGCUCCGCAUGUCUGCGUCGAUGCACACAACUUGAGUCCUUCUCCCUCCCACGCACUACAUACAUAUGCAUAUAUGUAUGCAUAUGUACGUAUCUGGAUGCUACCGUUUGCUUUUUCGUUUUCUAUAUUCUUGUAUGUAAUCGUGUGUGCGUCUGCUUGUCUUUUUUUACGAGCGCGAUUGACGGCUCUGCGUGCGUCAUUUUUUUUUUCAAUCUUUUUCUGUGUGUGUCUAUUUCUCUCUAUAUGCACAUCAUUUGGCACGCCAUACUGGCACACAGAGGCAGACACGGACACCAGGAAUUCAACCCAUAGAUGUGCCGAGGACCAAAGGGGGUGCGAGAGAACAUGCUUGCCGACUUGCGUGUCGUCAGCAGAAGCCGGCGCAUGUACUUCACUUGCUUCUCCCCCCUCCAUCGUUGUACAUCGAGUAGUGGGCAUUUCUCGAGCGUCCUUGUGCCCUUGUGUGUGUGUGUGUGUGUGCGAAUGUGUGUAUGUGCGCCUCUGCCCGUGCAUUCUCAAUCGUGAUUCUUCGGUUUUCUCCCUCUUCCUCUUCAACUCGCCCCCCUCCCCCGCCCCUCCCUCACCGCUUCUAUUGUACUCUGUUAAAUCGCCUUUCUGUCCUCUUUCGAGCCCUUCAAAAACACACACGCACACACCUUUCCUAAUGUGAGCGUACCUCCCUCCUCCAAAUUUGCUUUUUGGCGCUUUUUGAGUGUGCGCCCUUCCAUCUAUGUCACAAUGAUCGCAUUUCGCCUUUUUUCAUGUUCUCAAGUUGCUCUUUCGCGCCAUUCCUUUUCAAGUUCUUCUUUCUCUGCUGCAGGCUUUGGCCUUCCCUAUCUCUCCCCGUGGGCCUCUCUCUCAUCUCGCUAUGUUCUCCCUCCACUUACCAGGAAGCCGUUGCUGUUCUCAGCCCUCCCCCCUGAGAGUGCAUGCUUGUGUGAUUCGGCGCUGCUCACGGUAGCGGGCAAGGAAAGCGACAAGAAACAAAGUACAAAACAAAACGCACCGCUGAAUGCACUGUGGCCGAGGAUUCUUGUAUUCAGCGUUGUCUUCUCGUCACUGCUUCCCUGCCUGAUAACGACGGCCGCCUAACCGCGGUAUCAGGCUGCAGUGCCCCGCUCUUGGUGUUGACAAGACAGGCCAUAGCGGGCUCGGUAUCGAAGAGACGUGCAGUCCCGUAUACGCCGAGAACACCCCACUACGAGCUGUGCUAUUUACCUGGCGGCAGUCUUCCCACACCGGAAGUGCAAGGACGCUGCGCUUGCGAGGCGACGGGAGACCAUGCUCGCUCAGUCCCGCACCGGCGCCUGCCCGCGCCGCGGAUCCCUGCAACGGCGGGUGACUGGCAGUGGCGGCAUGGGGUGCGGAUGGUGUGCUGCCUACUGCUGCGCUGGCGCAUGCUUCUCCGCGGGCCCCCUUCCUCUCCACACACCCACGCCUGCGAAAGGCCUGUGGGCUCAGCAGAGGGCGGGAUGCCCCCUGCUGCCUUGCCACACACGCAUAGCGCGCCCCACCUGUGGGACGGCACGUGUGGUCAAGCGGGCCAGCCACGCCCUCUCCCCCACCCCCAGGCAGCAGCGUCGUCCUGAAACAGGCACCGAGGGCGCAGGAAUGCGAGCACUGUGCGCAGGUGCUGCCAAGCACAGCCGGCAUGCCGUAUCACACCCAGACAAGGCAUGCGCACGUGAGCAGAGCAGGAGCGAUGGGCGAACAAGGCGCGAGGAGACCCAAUAUACGAAUCAGCCGCCGCCCCCCUACUCGGCGCAUGUGUGCGGAGCGUGCGGUGACCUCUACGUCCGGCCGGGCCUGCGCUGAUGAGGCGCAGAUGCCGGAAGCAUGACGGAAGCACCCUCGAAUGGCACCAGCGAGUCCUCCAGACGCGCAUGAGGCGAGUCCCCACGCCACAUUACGGCAUGCCGCGGCUUGUGGCGACCGAGGGAGAGGCAUGGCAUGCAGGCAGGGCGUGCAAGGUCUCGGAGGGCCCUGGCCUGCGUGUGACCGACUUCCUUGCUGCGCUCGCCCGGCAUGCCCCCUUGAUCGCCACCCCCUUCUACCCGCACGGCAGACGCCACGGCCUCCGCCCACGAGCGGGACCCUGAAGGCGGCCCUGCUUGGAUCAGGGCAUGCGGUCCACCCAUGCGCGUGUGUCGCCGAUUGCGCAGCACACAUCCAAAGGUGAACAACGACACUAAGAGCCCAUCAGGUGCGUGCCCGAUGGCGAUGGAAGGAUUGCUCCUCCUGGACGACGAGAACUUGGCCGUGAUGAAACAGAGACAUGAAAACUGUGUUUGUAUGCGACUAUUGGGUGACUGAUUUGUGACGGAGUGGCUAGGUGAGGGAGAAAAAGAAAUUCCCUGUCGCCGUGUCUGUGUUGUGUUCUCACAGUGGCUUCGUUUUAUUGUUGGUGGUGUUCUUGGUGGGUACAUUGCUGCUAAGCUGUCUGGGUAGAAUUUUUUUCUCCCACUGGCGCUCGCUGUGAAGUAGUUUCCCGUUUUUUUUUUCGUUUGUGUUAUCGGUGUCUUGUACAAAGCAGCCAUUCACUUGUCGUCUGCCCCGAACGCCGUGUCGCGCGUACACACCCACUUAAACCUUGUGCCGUUUUUUUUUCCACCUCGCCUGCCGUCUACUGUUGUUUUUCGUUCGUUUUUUAUUUGUAUGGAUAGCGUCUACAAAUAUGUCGAUGCAUAUGUGUGUACUUCUCUCCUGUCUGUCGAGCUUUUACGUCCCCUUCUUCGUUUUUCUUGUUCCUUUUAGUCUUUCCUCUCACCAUAAACAGCGAGUACCAUGAGUGGUGGCUAUGUGUGCUGCUUGUGUGGCACCUUCGCGCCGCUGUCCACGACGUCUCAGGCACCAACAUGUACGAGCGCACAUCUUUUUCUUUGUAUGCUCUCUUGCUCUCUUCGCAGGUGCUUUCUUUCUUGCUUCUCCGGUGUUGUUCGUUCAGCGACUCACACCUCUUUUUUUUUUUCGCUCUCUCACAACUUACCUGCCCUUCCCUUUACACGUUUUAUGUUGGCGCAACUUUCACUGGUUCACACAGGUCGACCAUCAGUAGACAUCAUGUUUUUCAUCUGUGAGUUUCAUAGAUGCGCUGGUCGUGAUGUUCACAGAACGGGUGCAUGCGUGUGUACUUUCGAUUUCCCUUGACGCCUUGGUCUCUCCCUCUGCAGGUGCGCGAGCACUCUGGUAGGUGUAGGUGUGUGUGUGUGUGUGUGUCCUUGCUGGAGUUGUGUACUUCUCUUAGUAUUAUCAUUAUGUGCCGUCGUAAUAUGUUUUGGUGCCGCUGCACUCACGGCUUCCGUUUGUCGUCAUGCUAACUUUGCGUUCCGGCGGUCCCGCUAUCCCCUCCGCCCUCCUCCUCCUCCUCCUCCUCCUCUCUCUGACUGAGCCUUUUUUGCGGUCGUCUUUUUUUUUUCGCUCGUGUGCGUUGUGUGGUUUGCCGUUCUGCCCGUGUGCGUCUUCAGUUCCUUUACCGAGUGUCUGUGCCAGUGCAAGGCACAGGAUCAAGCGAAACGAAGCCGACGAGGAAAGAAAGAAAAGUAGAGCAUCACUCUGCGUGCUCGGUCCGACAUUCGAAGAAACUGGGUAAAUCACCUCUGGGGAGGCUACGGCAGUGGAGCUGGUGUGCACGAUGUACGCGUGCACACCUGCAUGGGGCGAAAAGAAAGACCGAGAGGGGCUCUGCACACACAUAGUUCUCGAUUCGCCACUUGAAGACACCGCUCUUCGACAGACGUCGGCGAUGCGGAGGGACUUCACAAUGACGCACAUCAUUCUUUUCUCUCUCCUUGGUCUUGAACCAUUCAUGAAGGCAUCCAAUGCAGCUGUGGUGCGCAGAGCCAUUCAAAGCAGUGAGGCGCAGCCACAACAGCAACAACAACAACAAAAAAACAUACAAACUUCACGAAGCACUUCGUAAGGGUGAAAGCUGAGGCGGAGCCGAAGGGCGCACUAACCAGGCAUGUGAGUCGUGCGAAGUGCUGGUGCCUCUAAUUCACCUCCUCCCUCUAACACGGCAGUGCACGCGGAAAAAAAAGGGGCUGGGAAUCCUGUGCGGCUUCAUGUCCUACCUCGUUCUCUUUUCACGCUCACCCGCUGCCCCUUCCUUUCUUCCUUCCUCUCUCUCGCCUUGUCUUCUCCGUCUGCCCCACCCCUGUUUGCACAUCGACAUGGGGAUAUUUUGUCAUGGCCUUCGAAG
RNAcentral lists this unclassified non-coding RNA (4754 nucleotides) under Leishmania donovani. RNAcentral's name for it is "gene:unknown". Lineage: Eukaryota; Euglenozoa; Kinetoplastea; Trypanosomatida; Trypanosomatidae. The record is from RNAcentral.